GUCGAACGGCAGCGAGGAGAAGCUUGCUUCUCUGUCGGCGAGUGGCGAACGGGUGAGUAUAGCAUCGGAACGUGCCAAGUAGUGGGGGAUAACCAAACGAAAGUUCGGCUAAUACCGCGUAAGCUCCAAGGAGGAAAGUAGGGGACCUAAAUAAGGCCUUACGCUAUUUGAUCGGCCGAUGUCGGAUUAGCUAGUUGGUGGGGUAAUGGCUCACCAAGGCAAUGACCCGUAACGGGUCUGAGAGGACGAUCCGCCACACUGGGACUGAGACACGGCCCAGACUCCUACGGGAGGCAGCAGUGGGGAAUUUUGGACAAUGGGGGAAACCCUGAUCCAGCCAUGCCGCGUGUAUGAAGAAGGCCUUAGGGUUGUAAAGUACUUUUGUUAGGGAAGAAAAGCUAGUUUUUAAUAAAAAUUAGUGAUGACGGUACCUAAAGAAUAAGCACCGGCUAACUACGUGCCAGCAGCCGCGGUAAUACGUAGGGUGCAAGCGUUAAUCGGAAUUAUUGGGCGUAAAGCGAGUGCAGACGGUUACUUAAGCCAGAUGUGAAAUCCCCAAGCUUAACUUGGGACGUGCAUUUGGAACUGGGUGACUAGAGUGUGUCAGAGGGAGGUAGAAUUCCACAUGUAGCGGUGGAAUGCGUAGAGAUGUGGAGGAAUACCGAUGGCGAAGGCAGCCUCCUGGGAUAACACUGACGUUGAGGCUCGAAAGCGUGGGG
This 719-nucleotide ribosomal RNA is filed under the name uncultured Neisseriales bacterium. Its description in RNAcentral is "bacterial SSU rRNA". It matches the Rfam family "Bacterial small subunit ribosomal RNA", at positions 61 to 766 of the family's 1533-position model. The record is from RNAcentral. Lineage: Bacteria; Pseudomonadati; Pseudomonadota; Betaproteobacteria; Neisseriales.